UCAAAAUUCCUCUGAUUUUAAAAUGGCAAUUGUAGUUAAGUCUGGUCACAAUCGCCAUGAAUUAAGUAGUUAAAACUCAAUAAGUAUCUCUCCUUUGAUUGAAUGAAACAUAAUUUUUUCAUAUUUCAAGCUUACUUUUAUUUUUUUAAAGGAUCAGCCCAGAAAAUCUUUGAAAGCCUAGAAAUGGGAGAAGAUGUUGAUCCUGAAUUGUUUGAAAGACAAGAAAUGACAACAUACUCUGUUGAUCCCGUCAUUGAAUUUGAUGCAUCAAAGAGGAGACGAAUGGAAAUACAGCCUCCAUCUCCAUGCACUAGUAGUGAAAAUAGGCCCAGUGCAAGGUCAAAAGUAUGGCAAGCCGUUUGCUUCAAAAAGUCGAGAUGAUUUUUUUCAAGUCGAGAUUUUUUUUUCAAGUCAAGAAAAAAUAUUUCAAGUCAAGAAAUUUCUUCAAAAAGUUGAGAUUAGUAUUUUCAAGUUUACACAUUUUUUUUCAAUUCUACAAGUUUGUUUUUUUUUAAGUCGACUUUUUA
Molecule: long non-coding RNA, 527 nt
Organism: Lineus longissimus
Lineage: Eukaryota; Metazoa; Nemertea; Pilidiophora; Heteronemertea; Lineidae
Exons: 3
Source: RefSeq, a predicted model, not a curated record